CCCAGUGUGGCAUAGUGGUUUCAGUGUUGGACUACAACUCUGGAGACCAGGAUUCGAUUCCCAGCUCAGCCA
Molecule: non-coding RNA, 72 nt
Organism: Phrynosoma platyrhinos (Desert horned lizard)
Lineage: Eukaryota; Metazoa; Chordata; Lepidosauria; Squamata; Phrynosomatidae
Source: the annotation of a GenBank genome assembly